RNAcentral lists this ribosomal RNA (643 nucleotides) under uncultured Actinomycetes bacterium. RNAcentral describes it as "bacterial SSU rRNA". It matches the Rfam family "Bacterial small subunit ribosomal RNA", at positions 231 to 888 of the family's 1533-position model. Lineage: Bacteria; Bacillati; Actinomycetota; Actinomycetes. The record is from RNAcentral.
UCGCGGCCUAUCAGCUUGUUGGUGGGGUGACGGCCCACCAAGGCGACGACGGGUAGCUGGUCUGAGAGGAUGUCCAGCCACACUGGGACUGAGACACGGCCCAGACUCCUACGGGAGGCAGCAGUUAGGAAUCUUGCGCAAUGGGCGAAAGCCUGACGCAGCGACGCCGCGUGCGGGAUGAAUGCUUUCGGGUUGUAAACCGCUUUCAGCAGGGACGAAAUUGACGGUACCUGCAGAAGAAGCCCCGGCCAACUACGUGCCAGCAGCCGCGGUAAUACGUAGGGGGCGAGCGUUGUCCGGAUUUAUUGGGCGUAAAGAGCUCGUAGGCGGUUUGGCAAGUCGGAUGUGAAAUCUCCAGGCUCAACCUGGAGAGGUCAUUCGAAACUGCCAUGACUAGAGUUCGGUAGAGGAGUGUGGAAUUCCUGGUGGAGCGGUGAAAUGCGCAGAUAUCAGGAGGAACACCCGUAGCGAAGGCGGCACUCUGGGCUGAUACUGACGCUGAGGAGCGAAAGCGUGGGGAGCGAACAGGAUUAGAUACCCUGGUAGUCCACGCCGUAAACGUUGGGCACUAGGUGUGGGGUUCUAUCGACGGAUUCCGUGCCGUAGCUAACGCAUUAAGUGCCCCGCCUGGGGAGUACGGAAU